AGAGUCUCUUCUUUUUAUUGCUUUGGCAUGAGGUUUGAGUUUUGACUUCAAGUACAAAAAAUGAAUUUAUUUUGGGCCAAAAGCAUGUGGGAAAUAAAUUACGGCGAAGUUUGGAAGUAUUAGGCUUACAAGUACAAUAGUCUGGGACACAAUUUGACUAAAGGAGUGGGUGGCUACUAACUCCGCACCACACCCAUUCAUUUUUCUCAUUUUUUACAGUACGAUUGUAACCAGAUCCCAAAACCUAACCUCUCGGCUCCUAAAUAAGGCUCCAAUAGUUAGUUUCUCAGUGACUUUUUUUUAAUAGUGUAGAAAGUAUAUAAGAUACAUCCAACACCCCCAUUGUUUAAACGGGUCAACAUCAAGUUUUCUUUUC
Arabidopsis thaliana (thale cress) is the source of this 376-nucleotide long non-coding RNA. RefSeq annotates it as other RNA. The transcript has a single exon. The record is from RefSeq. NCBI's taxonomy places the organism in Eukaryota, Viridiplantae, Streptophyta, Magnoliopsida, Brassicales, Brassicaceae.